AGUGGCGCACGGGUGAGUAACGCGUAGGUAAUCUACCUUAAGGAUUGGGAUAGCUCUACGAAAGUAGGAUUAAUACCAUAUAUGCUCUAUUGAGUAAAGAUUUAUCGCCUUAUGAUGAGCCUGCGUUAGAUUAGUUAGUUGGUAGGGUAACGGCCUACCAAGGCGACGAUCUAUAGCCGGGUUGAGAGACUGGCCGGCCACAUUGGGACUGAGACACGGCCCAGACUCCUACGGGAGGCAGCAGCUAAGAAUCUUCCGCAAUGGACGCAAGUCUGACGGAGCGACGCCGCGUGAACGAUGAAGGCCUUACAGGUUGUAAAGUUCUUUUAUAGAAGACGAAUGUUAUGCGUAGGCAUAACUGACGGUAUUCUAUGACUAAGGUCCGGCUAACUACGUGCCAGCAGCCGCGGUAAUACGUAGGGACCGAGCGUAGUUCGGAAUUAUUGGGCGUAACAGGGUACGUAAGGCGGUCUACUAAGUCACAUGUGAAACCCUCGGGCUCAUCCUGAGGCCUGCGUCUGAUACUGAAAGGCUAGAGUUACGGAGAGGAAGUCGGAAUUCCUGGUGUAGGGGUGAAAUCUAUAGAUAUCAGGAAGAAC
Molecule: ribosomal RNA, 599 nt
Filed under: uncultured organism
Description: bacterial SSU rRNA
Rfam family: Bacterial small subunit ribosomal RNA
Source: RNAcentral